This 490-nucleotide ribosomal RNA is filed under the name uncultured bacterium. RNAcentral's name for it is "partial 16S ribosomal RNA". It matches the Rfam family "Bacterial small subunit ribosomal RNA", at positions 30 to 507 of the family's 1533-position model. The record is from RNAcentral.
AUUGAACGCUGGCGGCAGGCCUAACACAUGCAAGUCGAACGGUAACAGGAAGCAGCUUGCUGCUUCGCUGACGAGUGGCGGACGGGUGAGUAAUGUCUGGGAAACUGCCUGAUGGAGGGGGAUAACUACUGGAAACGGUAGCUAAUACCGCAUAACGUCGCAAGACCAAAGAGGGGGACCUUAGGGCCUCUUGCCAUCGGAUGUGCCCAGAUGGGAUUAGCUAGUAGGUGGGGGAACGGCUCACCUAGGCGACGAUCCCCAGCUGGUCUGAGAGGAUGACCAGCCACACUGGAACUGAGACACGGUCCAGACUCCUACGGGAGGCAGCAGUGGGGAAUAUUGCACAAUGGGCGCAAGCCUGAUGCAGCCAUGCCGCGUGUAUGAAGAAGGCCUUCGGGUUGUAAAGUACUUUCAGCGGGGAGGAAGGGAGUAAAGUUAAUACCUGUGCUCAUUGACGUUACCCGCAGAAGAAGCACCGGCUAACUCCGUG